GACGAACGCUGGCGGCGUGCUUAACACAUGCAAGUCGAACGGAAAGGCCCUGCUUUUGUGUGGUGCUCGAGUGGCGAACGGGUGAGUAACACGUGAGUAACCUGCCCUUGACUUUGGGAUAACUUCAGGAAACUGGGGCUAAUACCGGCUAGGAGCUCCUGCUGCAUGGUGGGGGUUGGAACGUUUCGGCGGUUGGGGAUGGACUCGCGGCUUAUCAGCUUGUGGGUGGGGUAGUGGCUUACCAAGGCUUUGACGGGUAGCCGGCCUGAGAGGGUGACCGGCCACAUUGGGACUGAGAUACGGCCCAGACUGCUACGGGGGGCAGCAGUGGGGAAUAUUGCACAAUGGGCGGAAGCCUGAUGCAGCAACGCUGCGUGCGGGAUGACGGCCUUCGGGUUGUAAACCGCUUUCGCCUGUGACGAAGCGUGAGUGACGGUAAUGGGUAAAGAAGCACCGGCUAACUACGUG
This 468-nucleotide ribosomal RNA is filed under the name uncultured bacterium. RNAcentral describes it as "partial 16S ribosomal RNA". It matches the Rfam family "Bacterial small subunit ribosomal RNA", at positions 28 to 507 of the family's 1533-position model. The record is from RNAcentral.